GACGAACGCUGGCGGCGUGCUUAACACAUGCAAGUCGAACGGAAAGGCCCUGCUUUUGUGGGGUGCUCGAGUGGCGAACGGGUGAGUAACACGUGAGUAACCUGCCCUUGACUUUGGGAUAACUUCAGGAAACUGGGGCUAAUACCGGAUAGGAGCUCCUGCUGCAUGGUGGGGGUGGGAAAGUUUCGGCGGUUGGGGAUGGACUCGCGGCUUAUCAGCUUGUUGGUGGGGUAGUGGCUUACCAAGGCUUUGACGCGUAGCCGGCCUGAGAGGGUGACCGGUCACACUGGAACUGAGACACGGUCCAGGCGCCGACGGGAGGCAGCAGUGGGGAAUAUGGGACAGUGGGCGAAAGCCGGAGCCAGCCAUGCCGCGUGUGUGAAGAAGGUCUUCGGAGUGUAAAGCACUUUAAGUUGGGAGGAAGGGCAGUAAGUUAAUACCUUGCUGUUUUGACGUGACCAACAGAAUAAGCACCGGCUAACUUCGUG
Molecule: ribosomal RNA, 488 nt
Filed under: uncultured bacterium
Lineage: Bacteria
Description: partial 16S ribosomal RNA
Rfam family: Bacterial small subunit ribosomal RNA
Source: RNAcentral